RNAcentral lists this ribosomal RNA (488 nucleotides) under uncultured bacterium. Its description in RNAcentral is "partial 16S ribosomal RNA". It matches the Rfam family "Bacterial small subunit ribosomal RNA", at positions 28 to 507 of the family's 1533-position model. The record is from RNAcentral.
GAUGAACGCUGACAGAAUGCUUAACACAUGCAAGUCAACUUGAAUUUGGGUUUUUAACUUAGGUUUGGGUGGCGGACGGGUGAGUAACGCGUAAAGAACUUGCCUCACAGCUAGGGACAACAUUUGGAAACGAAUGCUAAUACCUAAUAUUAUGAUAAUAGGGCAUCCUAUAAUUAUGAAAGCUAUAAGCGCUGUGAGAGAGCUUUGCGUCCCAUUAGCUAGUUGGAGAGGUAACGGCUCACCAAGGCGAUGAUGGGUAGCCGGCCUGAGAGGGUGACCAGCGACACGGGGACUGAGAGACGGCCGAGAGCGGUACGGGAGGAAGCAGUGGGGAAUUUUGGACAAUGGGGGAAAGUGUGAUCGAGCAAUGCCGCGUGUGUGAAUACGGCUUUCGGGGGGGAAAAAAAUAUUGUCAGGAAAGAAAUCCGUGGCACUAAAACGGUCGGGGGAUGACGGUACCGGAAGAAUAAGCACCGGCUAACUACGUG